CCUACGGGUGGCAGCAGUGGGGAAUAUUGGGCAAUGGAGGAAACUCUGACCCAGCAACGCCGCGUGAAGGAGGAAGGUUUUCGGAUUGUCAACUUCUGUCGCGAGGGAUGAAGAAUGACGGUACCUCGUAAGAAAGACCCGGCAAACUACGUGCCAGCAGACGCGGUAAAACGUAGGGGGCGAGCGUUGUACGGAAUGUCUGGGCGUAACGGGAGUGUAGGCGGGAUCUUAAGUUAUGUGUGAAAGCCCGCGGCUCAACCGCGGAAUUGCACAUAAAACUGGUAAGCUGGAGUGCAGGAGAGGUAAGUGGAAUGCCCGGUGGAGCGGUGGAAUGCGUAGAUAUCGGGAGGAACACCAGAGGCGAAGGCGACUUACUGGACUGUAACUGACGCUGAGGCUCGAAAGCGUGGGGAGCAAACAGGAUUAGAUACCCUUGUAGUC
RNAcentral lists this ribosomal RNA (441 nucleotides) under uncultured bacterium. RNAcentral's name for it is "partial 16S ribosomal RNA". It matches the Rfam family "Bacterial small subunit ribosomal RNA", at positions 338 to 795 of the family's 1533-position model. The record is from RNAcentral.